RNAcentral lists this long non-coding RNA (1755 nucleotides) under Musa acuminata (dwarf banana). Its description in RNAcentral is "long non-coding RNA (MACU_LNC004964)". The record is from RNAcentral. Lineage: Eukaryota; Viridiplantae; Streptophyta; Magnoliopsida; Zingiberales; Musaceae.
AAUACUAGACUGUUCCGUAAGAAUGAAUUAAAAAAAUGUAUUAAUACUCAUGAUCUUUUGUUGCAUCUACAAAAUGAAGGAAUAUGCAUCUCAACCAACAAAGCACCAAAACCAAGUCAAAAUUUAAGAGUACAUACAUAUCAGCACUGAAUUGUCCAUGUGUUCUUACCAACAGUCUCAUAUGGAUGAAAGCAAAAGUAUCAAGAUCAAAGCGUUAAGAUCUCAUCUAUAUUAUUAAAAACUGUCUUCAUUGUCAAUCAACAAUCAAUAAUGAUAAUAAAUUUACCAAUUUAGUGAUUUUAGCUGUUGGUAAAAUUACCAAUUCAGAUCUAGUUAUCAACUAAUGAGAAGGCUCAUAAAAAGAGUAUACAGAGUUAGUAUACGUAAUGCUAUCUUUACUGGUAGAUCUAUUCCAUAUAAUGUAAGUAUGAGUCUUGGAUAAAAGCAAUCAACAAAUAGUAAUUUAGAUAUAGUUACCAAUUGAUGAAUAGGUUCUUGAAAAGAGCAUAUAAAGCUAGUAUAUUUAAUGCGAUCUGAACUUGUAGAUCUAUUUCACAUAAUGCAAGCAUGUGCGUGGACCAAAAGCAAUCAACAAAUACUCAAAACCUCAGAUCUAGAUGCCAACUGAUGAAUAGGUUCUUGAAAAGCGCAUAUAAAGGUAGUACGUUUAAUGCAAUCUACUUGUAGAUCUAUUCCACACAAUGCAAGGGUUCUACCAGAUCCAUCCAUUGAAGACGGAUCUAUAGAAAUCUCAGUGAAAAACCGAACGAAACAACACUCGAUCAAUCCAAACACCAUUCUCCCCGAUCCAUCAGAUCUACCUUACCGACCACAUCCGACCAAAACGCAGAAAUCAAUUAGAACUGUUUUCGGAGGCCAAAUUGUUAUCAAGAUCUGAUUUUUCGAUUGAAACCGAUCUUAAGAGAAAAAUUAAGACAUAGGACGAACAAUAUCAGCAUUCAUUACCUGAGCGGCUACGAGGCCACUGAUGUGAGCCAUAUCGCAGAGCAACAAGGCCCCGCACUUGUCGGCGAUAGAUCUGAACCUUGCGUAGUCCCAAUCCCUAGGGUAGGCACUGCCACCGCAGAUGAUGAGCUUGGGGCGAAAGUCGAGGGCUUUCUCCUCGAGCUUGUCGUAGUCGAUGUACCCGGUCACGGGGCUGACCUUGUAGGGGAGGCUCUCGAAGUAAAUGGAGGUGGCGGAGAUCUUCUUGCCACCGGAGGUGUAGUAGCCGUGAGUGAGGUGUCCGCCGGAGGGAAGGUCGAGGCCCAUGAUGCGGUCAUGGGGGUUGAGGACGGCGGUGUAGGCGGCGAAAUUGGCAGGACUGCCAGAGUAUGGCUGGACGUUGACGCCCCACUUGGCGGGGUCGAGUUGGUAGGCGGCGAGGGCGCGGGAACGGCAGAGGUUCUCGAUGGCGUCGAUGUGCUCGUUGCCGCCGUAGUAGCGGUUGCCAGGCAUGCCCUCGGAGUACUUGUUAGUGAGAGCGCUGCCGAGGGCCUCGAUGACGGCGAAGGAGGUGAAGUUCUCGGAGGCGAUGAGCUCGAUGCCGUGAGACUGGCGCCGCUUCUCGUGUUCGAUGAGGUCGUGGAUCUCCGGGUCGACGGCGGAGAGCGGCGAGAGUCCCCAUUCGCUCACGGACUCCAUGGGUACUGCAGCCGGGGCCGGAAUGGGAAAGCGAAGAUGCUGGACGGGGAGAGGGAAAGGGGUAGAAGGACGAUGAGGAAGAAGUCUUCCGAGGGGUAGGGGAGAAUGGCG